This 77-nucleotide transfer RNA is filed under the name Minous monodactylus (grey stingfish). RNAcentral's name for it is "tRNA-Lys". It matches the Rfam family "tRNA". From Rfam's summary of the family: Transfer RNA (tRNA) molecules are approximately 80 nucleotides in length. Their secondary structure includes four short double-helical elements and three loops (D, anti-codon, and T loops). Further hydrogen bonds mediate the characteristic L-shaped molecular structure. tRNAs have two regions of fundamental functional importance: the anti-codon, which is responsible for specific mRNA codon recognition, and the 3' end, to which the tRNAs corresponding amino acid is attached (by aminoacyl-tRNA synthetases). tRNAs cope with the degeneracy of the genetic code in two manners: having more than one tRNA (with a specific anti-codon) for a particular amino acid; and 'wobble' base-pairing, i.e. permitting non-standard base-pairing at the 3rd anti-codon position. The record is from RNAcentral. Lineage: Eukaryota; Metazoa; Chordata; Actinopteri; Perciformes; Synanceiidae.
UCACUAAGAAGCUAAACAGGGCAUAGCGUUAGCCUUUUAAGCUAAAGAUUGGUGCCUCCCAACCACCCCUAGUGAAC